UACGAACUGUGCGAACGUUAUUCGGAAUCACUGGGCUUACAGGGUGCGUAGGCGGCUCAACAAGUCAGGUGUGAAAGCCCCCGGCUCAACCGGGGAACUGCGCUUGAAACUGUUAGGCUCGAGUCAGCUAGAGGUACACGGAACUUCCAGUGGAGCGGUGAAAUGUGUUGAUAUUGGAAGGAACACCGGAGGCGAAAGCGGUGUACUGGGGCUGGUCUGACGCUGAGGCACGAAAGCCAGGGGAGCGAACAGG
RNAcentral lists this ribosomal RNA (253 nucleotides) under uncultured bacterium. Its description in RNAcentral is "partial 16S ribosomal RNA". It matches the Rfam family "Bacterial small subunit ribosomal RNA", at positions 524 to 776 of the family's 1533-position model. The record is from RNAcentral.